GGGAUCACUAGUGGCUACUACUGCUAGUGAUGCUAAGAGCACUACAUACAAGAAGAAUAUAACAAGACUGUACUAACAGUUAAAGUCUAGGGGUGUGAUACUAAAGAAGCAAGAGAUUUAU
This is a long non-coding RNA of Amphimedon queenslandica, 121 nucleotides long. RefSeq lists it as uncharacterized. NCBI's taxonomy places the organism in Eukaryota, Metazoa, Porifera, Demospongiae, Haplosclerida, Niphatidae. The record is from RefSeq and is a predicted model, not a curated record. The transcript has 2 exons.